Penaeus vannamei (Pacific white shrimp) is the source of this 478-nucleotide non-coding RNA. The record is from RefSeq and is a predicted model, not a curated record. NCBI's taxonomy places the organism in Eukaryota, Metazoa, Arthropoda, Malacostraca, Decapoda, Penaeidae.
CGGAACGCUUAUACUGUUUCUGUUCCUGAUUGCUACGCUGGUUAGGUCGAACAGCCUUGUUGGUUUGGCGGUUAGAAAGUCUAUUCUCGGCGACGCGGUGGUCCGACUCGGCGACAAUCUGAAUGACGUCACACGAAGAAUCACGAACGGCAUCGCCAAAGCCACGUCGAGAUACGAAAGCAGGGACCGAACGAAGCGGAGCAUAAACUACCGAACAGCGAGACGAUAAAGGAGGAAAUCCUGUGUUUUUUCUGUGGAUAAUAACCCUUAUCUCCCGUCCAUGGGCAGUUCCGUGAUGGGUCGUUGUUUUUCUUAAUGUUUUCUUUUUCUUUUUUGUUUUUUUUCCUUUUUUAUUGUUAUUUUGUUGAAAAGCUUGGUGUGCAGUUUAGUGAUUUGCUUUGUUUUGUUACUAAUGGACAUUUUGUUGAACUAUAUGUUAUUUGUUUUUUUGUUAUAAACGUAUUUAAUAAAUAUCUAU